GGAGAUGUGGCUCAGUUGGUAGAGUGCUUGCCGUGCAUGUACAAGAACCUGGGUUCAAUCCCCCAGCACCACCA
This 74-nucleotide transfer RNA is filed under the name Ictidomys tridecemlineatus (thirteen-lined ground squirrel). RNAcentral describes it as "Spermophilus tridecemlineatus (thirteen-lined ground squirrel) tRNA". It matches the Rfam family "tRNA". From Rfam's summary of the family: Transfer RNA (tRNA) molecules are approximately 80 nucleotides in length. Their secondary structure includes four short double-helical elements and three loops (D, anti-codon, and T loops). The record is from Rfam by way of RNAcentral. Lineage: Eukaryota; Metazoa; Chordata; Mammalia; Rodentia; Sciuridae.